RNAcentral lists this ribosomal RNA (253 nucleotides) under uncultured bacterium. Its description in RNAcentral is "partial 16S ribosomal RNA". It matches the Rfam family "Bacterial small subunit ribosomal RNA", at positions 524 to 776 of the family's 1533-position model. The record is from RNAcentral.
UACGUAGGGUGCGAGCGUUGUCCGGAAUUACUGGGCGUAAAGAGCUCGUAGGUGGUUUGUCGCGUUGUUCGUGAAAUCUCACGGCUUAACUGUGAGCGUGCGGGCGAUACGGGCAGACUAGAGUACUGCGGGGGAGACUGGAAUUCCUGGUGUAGCGGUGGAAUGCGCAGAUAUCAGGAGGAACACCGGUGGCGAAGGCGGGUCUCUGGGCAGUAACUGACGCUGAGGAGCGAAAGCGUGGGGAGCGAACAGG